Molecule: ribosomal RNA, 230 nt
Filed under: uncultured soil bacterium
Lineage: Bacteria
Description: partial 16S ribosomal RNA
Rfam family: Bacterial small subunit ribosomal RNA
Source: RNAcentral
GCCGCGCGCGGCGGGCGGGCGGGGGCACGGGGGGCCUACGGGAGGCAGCAGUGGGGAAUUGUUCGCAAUGGGCGCAAGCCUGACGACGCAACGCCGCGUGGAGGAUGAAGGUCUUCGGAUUGUAAACUCCUGUUGCCCGGGACGAAACGCUCCGACCUAACACGUCGGAGUCUGACGGUACCGGGUGAGGAAGCCCCGGCUAACUCUGUGCCAGCAGCCGCGGUAAUAAU